CCCCCAAACUUUAAUUGGUCUUUGCAGUAUUGAUGGACAAUGUAAUAACACAAGAUAUCAGUGACAUCAACACAAGAUAUGCUUCAAGUGAUGUUGUCACCACACAUGUGAAGAUGACAAAAGAGAAAAUAUCAUCAGCAAAAGGUUAACUGCCCAAAAAAGGAGCAGCUACUCAGACCUGCAGUCCCAAGACAUAACAGGUCUGGAGUUCUUGCAAAAUAACACUAAUCCCAACCGCUUCCUAUGGCCUAAUCUGCACACUAACUCAAAUUGUUAAUAACAGAAUAAAAUGAGCAUAAAUUGUAAACGACAUGGGAGAAUUUAACAUUUCUCCUACUGCAAAGGAUAAAUGAAUAUCUGCAUUCUGUUACUUAGCCUAAACUCUGCACACCGUACAAAUAGUUAACACCAAAGGUACAACCCCUGCAACAGCAAAAGGAAGAUAUACUGAUAGUGUCCCCCACUAAAGUGUUUACUGUCCCUGUCCCUGCAGCUGCAAAGAGACCAACAAGGCAAAAACAGAAAGCAACUUUUCGCCUUGCACAAGAGCACCUCCUUCUCAGGUAGGCCUUGUUAUAUCCGUCGGGCAAAGAAUUUUAUUUCAGCCAAUUUAAAAACCUAAUCUGCACACCAUUUAAGAUCAUUAAAAUCUAAUCAAGUAAAACAACCAGGAAAAUAAAUAAAGUAUAUUACUGUCAAGAAUAGUGAUGUAAAAAGAAAAACAGCACUUCCAAAAAUAUACUCCUUCAGUUUUUAAAUAUGUGAUGUUUACGACAAGCUGAUUACUUUAGAAUAAACUAAUUAGCUUGUCCUAAACAUUAUAUACUGAAAAAGGAGGAAGUAUAUAAUAUAAUUAAACUGAGGCAUAUUUUUUCUAUACAAAAAAUCUAGAUGCAUAUGACUUGGAAUCCUGUGUGCUAAAACAGUUUCUAAAGCACACAAUGCACUAGGUGGGUGGUGCCUAGCACCUUAUCGCCAAUUACACAGAUCAAAAAGUGUUAGCAUCAUAUCUAUAACAGGCAGUCAGCCAUAAAAGAACUGCUGCUUGCAAGAUGCUGUCACAGUUUUAAAACAAGCUAGGUGGUUGCUUCAACAAUACUAAUAUAAGUUUUAUAGCCAACAAAAAAAAGGAGCAUUGGUUUUCUGAAAACAACGAAACACUCCAGACCACAUGGUCAACAAUAUUCACAUCAAAUUUAAUUUUUCAUGUCACUGAUUAGGAUGGUUUCCCAAUCGAAAUAUGGUGCAAGAGACUUGUGCGCGCAAGACGCAAAUCAGUUUGGUGAGAACUAGCUAUAACCUAAAAGAUGAACAGAAACAGGCACACUUAACUGCCAAGGGACAUUACACCUUAGCUUUAAUUUACAGCGAAACAGAAGAUCACUGGUAGAACUCCCCACUCAACAACACAAAACUAACAGUGGUAGCUAAAGCAAUACAAUUUUCCCUAUUGCCGGCUGCUACUGGAAACCGUACGAGGGAAUCCUAGUCCAGCAUUACGCUGGCGUCGACAUUGGUGACACCUUUGGGUGCCAUUCUCUCCGUGGAGUAGGCGGAGGUUUUUCGAUUGACAAGUAAUAGAUAAUUGAGACAUCAAGUUUCUAAGCAAACGGGGAGAUGUGAUGGAUUUCUUCUACAUAAGACACUGCAAGAUUGAAGCUUGAACGAAAGAGAAGGUUGAAGCUUAGUAUUCUAGCUUUUUUUCUUUGUUUUAGAGCUUUCUUUCUUGUAUUUGUGAAACCGCUCAUUUUGAUGUUUAGAGUCUAAGAACUCUUGUAACCAUUGGCUAUAUAUAUCUAUGUUGUCCAUGUUGUGGAUAUAGAGGCCGGAUUAAUACAUUAUCUAAAAGAAAGUUACGACUUAGCUUCA
Long non-coding RNA from Panicum virgatum (switchgrass), 1869 nucleotides. RefSeq lists it as uncharacterized. The transcript has 2 exons. Lineage: Eukaryota; Viridiplantae; Streptophyta; Magnoliopsida; Poales; Poaceae. The record is from RefSeq and is a predicted model, not a curated record.